RNAcentral lists this ribosomal RNA (114 nucleotides) under Mesocricetus auratus (golden hamster). Lineage: Eukaryota; Metazoa; Chordata; Mammalia; Rodentia; Cricetidae. The record is from RNAcentral.
ACAGGGGGCCACACCCCCCUGAAUGUGCCGGGUCUCAGCUGAGCUCAGAAGCUAAGCAGGGCCGGGUCUGGUCAGUCUGCUACAUUGCUUGUGUAGGGAACUUGGUCCCCAGAG